UGGGGAAUUUUGGACAAUGGGCGAAAGCCUGAUCCAGCAAUGCCGCGUGUGUGAAGAAGGCCUUCGGGUUGUAAAGCACUUUUGUCCGGAAAGAAAUCCUUGGCUCUAAUACAGUCGGGGGAUGACGGUACCGGAAGAAUAAGCACCGGCUAACUACGUGCCAGCAGCCGCGGUAAUACGUAGGGUGCAAGCGUUAAUCGGAAUUACUGGGCGUAAAGCGUGCGCAGGCGGUUUGCUAAGACCGAUGUGAAAUCCCCGGGCUCAACCUGGGAACUGCAUUGGUGACUGGCAGGCUAGAGUAUGGCAGAGGGGGGUAGAAUUCCACGUGUAGCAGUGAAAUGCGUAGAGAUGUGGAGGAAUACCGAUGGCGAAGGCAGCCCCCUGGGCCAAUACUGACGCUCAUGCACGAAAGCGUGGGGAGCAAACAGGAUUAGAUACCCUGGUAGUCCACGCCCUAAACGAUGUCAACUAGUUGUUGGGGACUUCAUUUCCUUAGUAACGUAGCUAACGCGUGAAGUUGACCGCCUGGGGAGUACAGUCGCAAGAUUAAAACUCAAAUGAAUUGACGGGGU
Molecule: ribosomal RNA, 572 nt
Filed under: uncultured bacterium
Lineage: Bacteria
Description: partial 16S ribosomal RNA
Rfam family: Bacterial small subunit ribosomal RNA
Source: RNAcentral